RNAcentral lists this ribosomal RNA (533 nucleotides) under uncultured bacterium. RNAcentral's name for it is "bacterial SSU rRNA". It matches the Rfam family "Bacterial small subunit ribosomal RNA", at positions 28 to 508 of the family's 1533-position model. The record is from RNAcentral.
GAUGAGCGCUGGCGGCGUGCCUAAUACAUGCAAGUCGAGCGGUAAGGCUCUGCACAGGUUAUUUGACCAGAUAAGUUUCCAUAGGAAAUACUGUCUGCUCUGGGAGGUUCCACGGCUGGAACGUCCUUGUCGAAUGAUGUGUGUAGAGUACACGAGCGGCGGACGGCUGAGUAACGCGUAGGAAUGUACCCCAAAGUGAGGGAUAAGCACCAGAAAUGGUGUCUAAUACCGCAUGUGCUCCACGGAGUAAAGCUUUAUGCGCUUUGGGAACAGCCUGCGUCCGAUUAGCUUGUUGGUAGUGUAAUGGACUACCAAGGCGAUGAUCGGUAGCUGGUCUGAGAGGAUGAUCAGCCAGACUGGGACUGAGAACGGCCCAGACUCCUACGGGAGGCAGCAGUAGGGAAUUUUCCACAAUGGGCGAAAGCCUGAUGGAGCAACGCCGCGUGCAGGAUGAAGGCCUUAGGGUUGUAAACUGCUUUUAUUAGUGACGAUUAUGACGGUAACUAAUGAAUAAGGACCUGCUAACUACGUGC